This 238-nucleotide ribosomal RNA is filed under the name uncultured bacterium. Its description in RNAcentral is "partial 16S ribosomal RNA". It matches the Rfam family "Bacterial small subunit ribosomal RNA", at positions 524 to 761 of the family's 1533-position model. The record is from RNAcentral.
UACGGAGGGGGCUAGCGUUGUUCGGAAUUACUGGGCGUAAAGCGCACGUAGGCGGCUUUGUAAGUUAGAGGUGAAAGCCCGGGGCUCAACUCCGGAAUUGCCUUUAAGACUGCAUCGCUAGAAUUGUGGAGAGGUAAGUGGAAUUCCGAGUGUAGAGGUGAAAUUCAUAGAUAUUCGGAAGAACACCAGUGGCGAAGGCGACUUACUGGACACAUAUUGACGCUGGGAGGCGAACGCG